This 135-nucleotide small nucleolar RNA is filed under the name Cercocebus atys (sooty mangabey). RNAcentral describes it as "Small nucleolar RNA SNORA75 (ENSCATG00000020722.1)". It matches the Rfam family "Small nucleolar RNA SNORA75". Rfam says of the family: U23 belongs to the H/ACA class of snoRNAs. snoRNAs bind a number of proteins (including dyskerin, Gar1p and Nop10p in the case of the H/ACA class) to form snoRNP complexes. This class are thought to guide the sites of modification of uridines to pseudouridines by forming direct base pairing interactions with substrate RNAs. Lineage: Eukaryota; Metazoa; Chordata; Mammalia; Primates; Cercopithecidae. The record is from Rfam by way of RNAcentral.
GACUUCUCACUGAGUUUCUUUCUGUCUGUUGGUGGAAGCUUAUGGAUUCAUAAGAGCAGAGAAAAUUCACAGAACUAGCAUUACUUUUGCUUUCUGUCUUUACAGGAGUAUAUUUGGCUGUUUUGUGAGAUAUUG